This 74-nucleotide transfer RNA is filed under the name Penaeus monodon (black tiger shrimp). Its description in RNAcentral is "tRNA-Lys". It matches the Rfam family "tRNA". From Rfam's summary of the family: Transfer RNA (tRNA) molecules are approximately 80 nucleotides in length. Their secondary structure includes four short double-helical elements and three loops (D, anti-codon, and T loops). Further hydrogen bonds mediate the characteristic L-shaped molecular structure. tRNAs have two regions of fundamental functional importance: the anti-codon, which is responsible for specific mRNA codon recognition, and the 3' end, to which the tRNAs corresponding amino acid is attached (by aminoacyl-tRNA synthetases). tRNAs cope with the degeneracy of the genetic code in two manners: having more than one tRNA (with a specific anti-codon) for a particular amino acid; and 'wobble' base-pairing, i.e. permitting non-standard base-pairing at the 3rd anti-codon position. The record is from RNAcentral. Lineage: Eukaryota; Metazoa; Arthropoda; Malacostraca; Decapoda; Penaeidae.
GCCCGGCUAGCUCAGUCGGUAGAGCACGAGACUCUUAAUCUUCGGGGUCGGGGGUUCGAGCCUCACUUUGGGCG